GGGGAGAUGGUUCAGUUGGUAAAGUGUUUGCCUUUCAAGCAUGGGAUCUGAGUUCAAUUCCCAGUAUCCACA
RNAcentral lists this transfer RNA (72 nucleotides) under Mesocricetus auratus (golden hamster). It matches the Rfam family "tRNA". Rfam says of the family: Transfer RNA (tRNA) molecules are approximately 80 nucleotides in length. Their secondary structure includes four short double-helical elements and three loops (D, anti-codon, and T loops). Further hydrogen bonds mediate the characteristic L-shaped molecular structure. tRNAs have two regions of fundamental functional importance: the anti-codon, which is responsible for specific mRNA codon recognition, and the 3' end, to which the tRNAs corresponding amino acid is attached (by aminoacyl-tRNA synthetases). tRNAs cope with the degeneracy of the genetic code in two manners: having more than one tRNA (with a specific anti-codon) for a particular amino acid; and 'wobble' base-pairing, i.e. permitting non-standard base-pairing at the 3rd anti-codon position. The record is from Rfam by way of RNAcentral. Lineage: Eukaryota; Metazoa; Chordata; Mammalia; Rodentia; Cricetidae.